Molecule: ribosomal RNA, 253 nt
Filed under: uncultured bacterium
Lineage: Bacteria
Description: partial 16S ribosomal RNA
Rfam family: Bacterial small subunit ribosomal RNA
Source: RNAcentral
UACAGGGGGUGCAAACGUUGCUCGGAAUCAUUGGGCGUAAAGCGCACGUAGGCGGUUCGUUAUGUCGGAUGUGAAAGCCCUUGGCUUAACCGAGGAAGUGCAUCCGAAACUGGCGAGCUAGAGUACGAAAGAGGAUCGCGGAAUUCCCGGUGUAGAGGUGAAAUUCGUAGAUAUCGUAAGGAAGACCAGUGGCGAAGGCGAAUCUCUGGACAGUUACUGACACUGAGGCACGAAGGCCAGGGGAGCAAACGGG